GUCUACGGCCAUGCUACCCUGAACAAGCCCGAUCCCGUCUGAUCUCGGAAACUAAGCAGAGUUGGACCUGGUUAGUACUUGGAUGGGAGACCACCUAGGAAGACCAGGUGCUGUCAGUG
This 119-nucleotide ribosomal RNA is filed under the name Pteropus alecto (black flying fox). Lineage: Eukaryota; Metazoa; Chordata; Mammalia; Chiroptera; Pteropodidae. The record is from RNAcentral.